Molecule: ribosomal RNA, 543 nt
Filed under: uncultured marine picoplankton
Lineage: Eukaryota
Description: SSU rRNA
Rfam family: Eukaryotic small subunit ribosomal RNA
Source: RNAcentral
AUUAAAGUUGUUGCAGUUAAAAAGCUCGUAGUUGGAUUUCUGAUCUUGUUGGGUGGUCCGGCCUAGAGUCGUGCACUGCCUGGUGGGGUCUUCCUCUUGAAUUGUGCGUGUGCUCUUAACUGAGUGUGCGUAUGGUUUGGGAUCUUUACUUUGAAAAAAUUAGAGUGUUCAAAGCAGGCGAUUGCUUGAAUAUAUUAGCAUGGAAUAAUGGAAUAGGACUUGGGUUCUAUUUUGUUGGUUUCUAGAACCGAGGUAAUGAUUAAUAGGGACAGUUGGGGGCAUUCGUAUUUAAUUGUCAGAGGUGAAAUUCUUGGAUUUAUGAAAGACGAACUUCUGCGAAAGCAUUUGCCAAGGAUGUUUUCAUUAAUCAAGAACGAAAGUUAGGGGAUCGAAGACGAUCAGAUACCGUCGUAGUCUUAACCAUAAACUAUGCCGACUAGGGAUCCGUGGUCAUUUUUAUGAUACCAUGGGCACCUUAUGAGAAAUCAAAGUUUUUGGGUUCCGGGGGGAGUAUGGUCGCAAGGCUGAAACUUAAAGGAAUUG